CUGCUCUCCAUUAUGCUGUGUAUAGUGAGAGCACCUCGCUGGCAAAAAAACUGCUUUUCCAUGGUGCAAAUAUUGAAGCACUGGACAAGGACAAUAAUACCCCACUUUUAUUCGCUAUAAUUUGCAAGAAAGAGAAAAUGGUGGAAUUUUUAUUGAAAAACAAAACAAGUACACAGGCCGUUGAUAGGCUGAGACGGUACAGUAGUUUUUUUUUUUUUUAAAUAAAAACCUGCAUAUUCUAGAGUGGUAACAGUCACUGAAGUCAGAAAUAUUAAUAAGAAGAUUAACAUAAUUAUUGGCAUAUAAUAAAAAAUAUCACCAUGAAUAAUCAGAUAGAUCAGCAAAUAUUUGGACGGAGUGAUAUAAAGAACAGUAUAGAGUAGGAUUCAUCUUCUCUUAUAAUAUAGAGUGUUUGUUAUUUAUAAUUGGAUGUUUUUGGUACUGUAAUCUUUUAUUAGCUAAAGGGUUUUGUAUUAGUUUUAUUAUUUUUUUUUUUUUGAGAUGGAGUCUCGCUCUGUUGCCAGGCUGGAGUACAGUGGUGUGAUCUUGGCUCACUGCAACCUCCACCUCCCAGGCUCAAGUGAUUCUCCUGCCUCGGCCUCCCAACUAGCUGGGACUACAGGUGCUGGACACCAUGCCCAGCUAAGUUUUGUAUUUUUAGUAGAGAUGAGAUUUCACCAUAUUGGCCAGGAUGGCCUCAAUCUCUUGACCUUGUGAUCUGCUCUCCUUGGCUUCCCGAAGUGCUGCGAUUACAGGCAUGAGCCACUGCACCUGACCAGUUUUAUUAAUUUUUAAAGUGUGGACCUUUAGUUCAUGACUGCUAGAAUUAUCCUUAUUAUGAUUAUUGUUGUUGUUGUUUUCAGCCUGCAGAUAACUCUUAUCUGACCCCUGGCUGAUUUGAAUUGUAAUAUAUCAGACUAGGAAAGCAAUGGGGUAAUCUUCAUCUAAAUAUUUGCCUGCUUUAGAUAAGUGACCUCAGCACAGUUUCUUGGCCAUCAAAGGACUAUAAGUUAGCAACUUGUAUUAUGUCAUACCCCAGUGGGACGAGAGGCUUCCUUGUCCCUUUCUUUUAGCCUUGGUGAUAAUUUACAAAGAUGAACACCUGAGCACCCUAGAUGCUUAUAGACCCAAGCUAGUACCUGCAAAUGGUUAUUACGUCUACACUGACAGGUGGAUAUUAAAUUGGUAAAGUGUAUCAAACUAGCUGUUUAAAAAAGUCUUUAUUAAAGUUCUUGAGUGGA
Long non-coding RNA from Nomascus leucogenys (northern white-cheeked gibbon), 1241 nucleotides. RefSeq lists it as uncharacterized. NCBI's taxonomy places the organism in Eukaryota, Metazoa, Chordata, Mammalia, Primates, Hylobatidae. The record is from RefSeq and is a predicted model, not a curated record. The transcript is spliced from 2 exons.